AACGAACGCUGGCGGCAUGCCUAACACAUGCAAGUCGAACGAGACCUUCGGGCCUAGUGGCGCACGGGUGCGUAACGCGUGGGAACCUGCCCUUAGGUUCGGAAUAACUCCCCGAAAGGGGUGCUAAUACCGGAUAAUGUCAUCGGACCAAAGAUUUAUCGCCUUUGGAUGGGCCCGCGUUGGAUUAGCUAGUUGGUAGGGUAAAAGCCUACCAAGGCGACGAUCCAUAGCUGGUCUGAGAGGAUGAUCAGCCACACUGGGACUGAGACACGGCCCAGACUCCUACGGGAGGCAGCAGUGGGGAAUAUUGGACAAUGGGCGAAAGCCUGAUCCAGCAAUGCCGCGUGAGUGAUGAAGGCCUUAGGGUUGUAAAGCUCUUUUACCCGGGAUGAUAAUGACAGUACCGGGAGAAUAAGCUCCGGCUAACUCCGUG
RNAcentral lists this ribosomal RNA (433 nucleotides) under uncultured bacterium. RNAcentral describes it as "partial 16S ribosomal RNA". It matches the Rfam family "Bacterial small subunit ribosomal RNA", at positions 29 to 507 of the family's 1533-position model. The record is from RNAcentral.